AGGGCGCCUGAGUCGGCAGUGGCAGACGCGAAACCAAGUGAUCUACCCUUGACCAGGUUGAAGGCUGGGUAACACCAGCUGGAGGACCGAACCAAUAAGCGUUGAAAAGCUUCUGGAUGAGUUGAGGGUAGGGGUGAAAGGCUAAUCAAACUUGGAGAUAGCUCGUACUCCCCGAAAUGCAUUUAGGUGCAGCCUUGCGGGUUACUGAUGUGAGGUAGAGCGACUGAUAAGAUGCGAGGGCUUCACCGCCUAUCAAGUCUUGACAAACUCCGAAUGCGCAUCAGUUUUACCGCAGGAGUGAGGGCAUGGGUGCUAAGGUCCGUGCCCGAGAGGAGAAGAAUCCGGACCACCUGCUAAGGUCCCGAAAUGACAGCUAAGUUAAACUAACGAAGUCGGACUGCCAUGACAGCUAGGAUGUUGGCUUGGAAGCAGCCAUUCAUUUAAAGAGUGCGUAACAGCUCACUAGUCGAGGAGUCCGGCGUGGAUAAUAAUCGGGUAUGAAGUUGUCUACCGAAGCAGUGGGAUCAUGUAAAUGAUCGGUAGGGGAGCAUUCCACCCGGCGUCGAAGGCGUACCGUGAGGUAUUCUGGAGCGUGUGGAAAAGCAAAUGUAGGUAUAAGUAACGAUAAAGCAGGUGAGAAACCUGCUCGCCGCAAGACCAAGGUUUCCUGAUCAACGCUAAUCGGAUCAGGGUCAGUCGGGUCCUAAGGCUCAGCCGAACGGCGAGGCCGAUGGCAGAAACGGUUAAUAUUCCGUUACUACCUUUACGGGCGAUGUGGAGACGCAGAAGUGACAGUGCCGCCAUCUGACGGAAUAGAUGGUUGAAGGGUGUAGAAGCUGAUCGUGGCAGGCAAAUCCACCACGUGAUUCGAACCUGACAGUAUGCCGCGUCCUCCGGGACAAGGCAAUAGUGCACGUAAUCAUACUGCCGAGAAAAUCCGCUAAGCUAUACCGUAAAGGUACCCGUACCGUAAACGGACACACGUGGUCGGGAUGAAUAUUCUAAGGCGCUUGAGUGAUUCACGGUUAAGGAACUAGGCAAACUGACCCUGUAACUUCGGGAUAAAGGGUCCCUCCUCGCAAGAGAGGGCGCAGAGAAUAGGUCCAGGCAACUGUUUAACAAAAACACAGGGCUGUGCAAAAUCGAAAGAUCCGGUAUACAGCCUGACACCUGCCCGGUGCUGGAAGGUUAAGAGGAGACGUCAUCGCAAGAGAAGCGUUGAAUUGAAGCCCCAGUAAACGGCGGCCGUAACUAUAACGGUCCUAAGGUAGCGAAAUUCCUUGUCGGGUAAGUUCCGACCUGCACGAAUGGUGUAAUGAUCUGGACGCUGUCUCAACCGUGAGCUCAGUGAAAUUGUAGUAUCGGUGAAGAUGCCGAUUACCCGCGAUGGGACGAAAAGACCCCGUGAACCUUUACUAUAGCUUAUCAUUGAAUUUGGGCACGUGAUGUGUAGGAUAGGUCGGAGGCUUUGAAGCAGGUACGCCAGUAUUUGUGGAGCCGCUGUUGAAAUACGACCCUUCAUUUGUUUGAGUUCUAACUCGUGAUGCGAGGACACUGAUUGGUGGGUAGUUUGACUGGGGUGGUCGCCUCCAAAAGUGUAACGGAGGCUUCUAAAGGUGCCCUCACGGCGAUUGGUAACCGCCGGGAGAGUGUAAUGGCAUAAGGGCGCUUGACUGGGAGACUCACAAGUCGAGCAGGUAGGAAACUAGAGCAUAGUGAUCCGGUGUUUCCGUAUGGAAGGGACAUCGCUCAAAGGAUAAAAGGUACUCCGGGGAUAACAGGCUGAUCCCUCCCAAGAGCUCAUAUCGACGGAGUGGUUUGGCACCUCGAUGUCGGCUCGUCACAUCCUGGGGCUGGAGAAGGUCCCAAGGGUUGGGCUGUUCGCCCAUUAAAGUGGCACGCGAGCUGGGUUCAGAACGUCGUGAGACAGUUCGGUCUCUAUCUAUCGUGGGCGUAUGAAAUUUGCGUGGCUCUGACACUAGUACGAGAGGACCGUGUUGGACUGACCUCUGGUUUACCGGUUGUGCCGCCAGGUGCAUCGCCGGGUAUCCAAGUCGGGAUCGGAUAAGUGCUGAAAGCAUCUAAGUACGAAGCCGGCCACAAGAUUAGAUUUCUCAGGGUCGUUGCAGACGACGACGUUGAUAGGAUGCAGGUGUAAAGAUGGAGACAUCAAAGCCGAGCAUUACUAAUUGCCCGUCCACUUUCUUUA
This 2209-nucleotide ribosomal RNA is filed under the name Phocaeicola sartorii. RNAcentral describes it as "bacterial LSU rRNA". It matches the Rfam family "Bacterial large subunit ribosomal RNA", at positions 689 to 2925 of the family's 2925-position model. The record is from RNAcentral. Lineage: Bacteria; Pseudomonadati; Bacteroidota; Bacteroidia; Bacteroidales; Bacteroidaceae.